UUAAUUUUAGAUUAUUUCGUCUCGAGAAAAAAAAAAUGGUGAAUGUUUGUGUUUAUUAACAGAAAUUCCAAGUAGUUGUCAAUAAUCCCAUAAAUAGGGACCAAGCACACAAGAGCUGAGGAUGAGGACAGAGGUGCAUCGUGCUGGUAAUUUUCCACCACAAAGAGGGAUGAAUCCGUUAUAAGCCAACCAAAAUCCCACGACCCCACCACACCCUCUCACUUCUCAGCUACAGUAUCCACACAGUGAAAAGAAAACGAGUCAGUGAGAGAGAGUCCGAGCGUCAGCGAUCAGAAAAUUCCGAGGCGAAAGAAAACACUUUCACUUGAAGACCACGCCUUCUUCCUCGAAGAUCCUUUCAAUGAUGAUGCUUUAACCGCCGCCCAGAUUAAUCAGAUUAUUCUGAUGCAUGGAUUCAGAAGAACACACAAGCGCUCCAAGGCACGUGAUUUAACCUCUAUUUUCUUAAUUUUUAAUUUUUAGAGCAACACAGCGAUCGACACUGGAAGACAAUUUCUUACCGUACGAUGACGCAUCACUCUCGCUCGGUGAAGCGAAACAAGACUUGGAAUCUAUGAAAUGGCAGGAGUGUUCAGACCAAUCUAUCGAGACCGUGCUUUUCAAUCACAAAACUAAUGAUGAAGUCAAAUCCAACGGUCAUGACGAUGCUUUGAAGAGUUUUGUGCGGUCGUCGCAAGAAGGGGAGAAGAUCUAGGAGGAUGAGAGGUGUGAGUAGCAUUGUGGAUGAUAGUGGUGCGAUGCAUGGGCGUCCUGGUGGCGGUACUGACGUGGCUAUUGGCUGUGUAAAUCAGUGGGGUCCGUCUUUGUAUGUGGAUACGGACGCUGGGAGUUCUGAUUCGUGUGGGCGAGAGCUAGUUGUCAAUGUAAGUAAAAACUGAAAAAGAUUGAUGAUUUGCAUGAUUAGAGUAGCGUUACCAUAUCAUGGUCCCAUAGGAUUGGAGGGUUAGAGAGUAGCUGGUUGGUUGGUCUUUGUAUCCUGGUCUCAUUUUCAUUUUUCGCGUUUGCUCCUAUUCCAGAAACUUAACAUAAAA
This is a long non-coding RNA of Populus trichocarpa (black cottonwood), 1052 nucleotides long. RefSeq lists it as uncharacterized. The transcript has 2 exons. The record is from RefSeq and is a predicted model, not a curated record. NCBI's taxonomy places the organism in Eukaryota, Viridiplantae, Streptophyta, Magnoliopsida, Malpighiales, Salicaceae.